This 221-nucleotide small nuclear RNA is filed under the name Fukomys damarensis (Damara mole-rat). RNAcentral's name for it is "U2 spliceosomal RNA". It matches the Rfam family "U2 spliceosomal RNA". Rfam says of the family: U2 is a small nuclear RNA (snRNA) component of the spliceosome (involved in pre-mRNA splicing). Lineage: Eukaryota; Metazoa; Chordata; Mammalia; Rodentia; Bathyergidae. The record is from Rfam by way of RNAcentral.
AUCGCUUCUCGGCCUUUUGGCUAAGAUCAAGUGUAGUACCUGAACUUUAGCAAUGUUUGUAUAUGAUGCAUAAUUAAUGAUAUUUGGCUAUAGCAUCCCCAGAAAAAGUGAGUCAUACAAUACUGAGAGUGCUAUAUGACUAAAGAGGUUUUCAAGUCCAAGGAAAAGCAUAUUUGCUGUCUUCCCUGAGCUACAGUAGUCUAUGUUUAAGUCAACUCUAU